GGCACCAAGGCAGAGCAAGUAAAUCUCAGCUCCGUUGGGCUUCCUCUGGGAUGACAGGAGUAUGACUAAAGCCAUUCCCAAAACAGAGACCUCUUACAAGUGGUGUUUGUUACAGAAAAAUAUUGCUUGGCUUAGCUCGCUAGGAAAGAUCUGGGAGACCUUUGGACAGAAGAUGCCAUAGGAAUGCCCAGCUUUCACCGGGGAAUACAAGUUAUGUCCUCCGCAGCACUGCUUUAAGCCAAGCCUCAGCUUUGGAAGGAUUAGACUCUACUAACAGCUGCUUAUUUGGGGACCCUGAUCCUGGUCACCCUCCGGCACCGAGGAGGCUCGGGUUGACAGUGUGAGGUCCUGCCAAAUGUCCCUCACAGCUGCAGCUUGAGCAAAACCUGACAGGGAAACAACAAUCUGCAGGCAUCACUUGCAGGGCACUUGAAGAAAGCCUCCUGUGUGUCCUUUGAAACUUGUUCUGCAUUGACUGCAUCAUGUCAGCAAAGUGUGUAAUAACCUC
Molecule: long non-coding RNA, 508 nt
Organism: Empidonax traillii (willow flycatcher)
Lineage: Eukaryota; Metazoa; Chordata; Aves; Passeriformes; Tyrannidae
Exons: 3
Source: RefSeq, a predicted model, not a curated record